CAGGAGUGAAAGGCUACGGCUCAACCGUAGUAAGCUCUUGAAACUGGGGGACUUGAGUGCAGGAGAGGAGAGUGGAAUUCCUAGUGUAGCGGUGAAAUGCGUAGAUAUUAGGAGGAACACCAGUUGCGAAGGCGGCUCUCUGGACUGUAACUGACGCUGAGGCACGAAAGCGUGGGGAGCAAACAGGAUUAGAUACCCUGGUAGUCCACGCUGUAAACGAUGAGUACUAGGUGUCGGGGGUUACCCCCUUCGGUGCCGCAGCUAACGCAUUAAG
RNAcentral lists this ribosomal RNA (274 nucleotides) under Clostridioides difficile. Its description in RNAcentral is "partial 16S ribosomal RNA". It matches the Rfam family "Bacterial small subunit ribosomal RNA", at positions 589 to 864 of the family's 1533-position model. The record is from RNAcentral. Lineage: Bacteria; Bacillati; Bacillota; Clostridia; Peptostreptococcales; Peptostreptococcaceae.